AAUAAUUUAAAAUCAAAGCACCAAAGGCGCUGUAGGCAGUUAAGCAGAGGCAAACUUGGCAGAAGUCAAGACGAAUAUUGUUGAAAAAUUGGUGAAAAUAUUAUCUCAGCUAUUUCUCAAGUAUUGAAUAAUGUUUGUACCCUAAAAUUUUCACUAUCCAAUCCCGCCACUUUCAAAAGUUAUGUCCAAUUAUUUAUUUUAACAUUUUUAUUAGUUUUUAUUGUUUUACAUUUGUAAUUCCUGGUCUUUUAAAGCUUACUAUGCAGUAUACAUGUAGGUUUUGCUAAUAGUUACAAGCUGCAUGGAGGAAUAUACAACUGCUUACCAAAUACCAUUGACUUUUCAUAAGUUGUCCUUUUUGAACAAACCUUUGGUUUUCUAGUUUGAAUGACUAGUAAUUUCUGGGCCCUUUAUAGCUUGUUGUUCGGUGUGAGCCAAGAAAUUUAAAGUGACAAAGUUUAUCCAACUGCACACCAAAUAUCAUUGACCAUUCACUAGUGGUUCCUCAAAAACUGACCUAAUCAAAAACUAAUACAUAUUAGUCAAUAGACCAUGACAAAGGGGGUGGGCUAAAUAUUCUGGUAAUGAGAUAUACCUACAUUAUUUAUGUAUGUUCCUGUCCGGGCCAAGUCAGGAGCCUGUAAUUCAGUAGCUGUCGUUUGUUUAUGUGUUACAUACAGUUGAAAGGGGUGUAUAGUCCGCGUUUUUUUACCGUGGGAAUGAAAUUGAUGGAAGGGGUGCGGACUAUGC
RNAcentral lists this long non-coding RNA (750 nucleotides) under Mytilus galloprovincialis (Mediterranean mussel). The record is from RNAcentral. Lineage: Eukaryota; Metazoa; Mollusca; Bivalvia; Mytilida; Mytilidae.